UUCACACCCUGGACUCCAGUUUCUGGAGCUGCUUCUUGCCACCCUUCAUGGCGAGGUUCUCAGCCUCAUCCAGACGGUGCUGCAGGUCCUUGACUGUGACCUCCAGGUUCUUCUUCAUCCUCUCCAGGUGAGCACUGGUGUCCUG
Molecule: long non-coding RNA, 145 nt
Organism: Lates calcarifer (barramundi perch)
Lineage: Eukaryota; Metazoa; Chordata; Actinopteri; Centropomidae
Exons: 2
Source: RefSeq, a predicted model, not a curated record